RNAcentral lists this unclassified non-coding RNA (213 nucleotides) under Hevea brasiliensis (rubber tree). The record is from RNAcentral. Lineage: Eukaryota; Viridiplantae; Streptophyta; Magnoliopsida; Malpighiales; Euphorbiaceae.
GGAAACAUAGAAAAGAAGAUCAGAAGCAAACCACAUAAACUAAAGAAGCUAUAAAGCUAACAUAGAAGAGGAAAACCAAGAAAAUCCAGAUCCAGAUUCAGCAUGAUAGCAAGAAAUCAUGAAAGGAUCCGUUUAUUAUUGGACAAAAUGAAAAACGAAAAGGGCAAUGAAGGUUUAAAGAAAAGAAAGAACUCACUUGGAGCCAGACUUCAG